This 369-nucleotide ribosomal RNA is filed under the name uncultured phototrophic eukaryote. Its description in RNAcentral is "SSU rRNA". It matches the Rfam family "Bacterial small subunit ribosomal RNA", at positions 524 to 896 of the family's 1533-position model. The record is from RNAcentral.
UACGGGGGAUGCAAGCGUUAUCCGGAUUUAUUGGGCGUAAAGCGCCUGUAGGUUGUUUAAUAAGUCUGUUGUUAAAGACUAGGGCUUAACCCUAGGAAAGCAAUGGAAACUACUAGACUUGAGUAUGAUAGGGGUAGAGGGAAUUUCUAGUGUAGCGGUGAAAUGCGUAGAUAUUAGAAAGAACACCGGCGGCGAAGGCGCUCUACUGGAUCAUUACUGACACUCAGAGGCGAAAGCUAGGGUAGCAAAAGGGAUUAGAUACCCCUGUAGUCCUAGCCGUAAACGAUGGAUACUAGAUGUUGUGAUUAACAUGCAGUGACGAAGCUAACGCGUUAAGUAUCCCACCUGGGGAGUACGCUCGCAAGGGUG